Molecule: unclassified non-coding RNA, 305 nt
Filed under: uncultured fungus
Lineage: Eukaryota; Fungi
Description: partial contains 5.8S rRNA and ITS2
Rfam family: 5.8S ribosomal RNA (bases 1-52)
Source: RNAcentral
AACGCACCUUGCGCUCCUUGGUAUUCCGAGGAGCAUGCCUGUUUGAGUGUCAUUAAAUUCUCAACCUAACACCUGUUUUGCAAUGGGUUUUGUUAGGCUUGGAUAUGGGGGCUUGCAGGUCCGCUCUUUUGUGGUCUGCUCCUCUGAAAUGCAUUAGUGGGUUUGUGCCCCUCAUCUAUUGGUGUGAUAAUUAUCUACGCCGUGGGUGAUGGAUUGGCCAUCAAUGAACCUGCUCAUAACCGUCCGUCUCGGACAACUUUGAUCAUUUUGACCUCAAAUCAGGUAAGACUACCCGCUGAACUUAA